Molecule: ribosomal RNA, 389 nt
Filed under: Flavobacteriales bacterium
Lineage: Bacteria; Pseudomonadati; Bacteroidota; Flavobacteriia; Flavobacteriales
Description: bacterial SSU rRNA
Rfam family: Bacterial small subunit ribosomal RNA
Source: RNAcentral
UAACGAUGAAGAGUUUGAUCCUGGCUCAGGAUGAACGCUAGCGGCAGGCCUAACACAUGCAAGUCGAGGGGUAACGGGGAGCUUGCUCCGCCGACGACCGGCGCACGGGUGCGUAACGCGUAUACAAUCUACCUUUUGCUGAGGGAUAGCCCAGAGAAAUUUGGAUUAACACCUCAUGGUAUAUAGAGAUCGCAUGGUCUUUAUAUUAAAGGUCACGGCAAAAGAUGAGUAUGCGUUCUAUUAGCUAGAUGGUGUGGUAACGGCAUACCAUGGCAACGAUAGAUAGGGGCCCUGAGAGGGGGAUCCCCCACACUGGUACUGAGACACGGACCAGACUCCUACGGGAGGCAGCAGUGAGGAAUAUUGGACAAUGGGCGAGAGCCUGAUCC